AUUGAACGCUGGCGGCAUGCCUUACACAUGCAAGUCGAACGGUAACAGGUCUUCGGAUGCUGACGAGUGGCGAACGGGUGAGUAAUACAUCGGAACGUGCCUAGUAGUGGGGGAUAACUACUCGAAAGAGUGGCUAAUACCGCAUGAGAUCUACGGAUGAAAGCAGGGGAUCGCAAGACCUUGUGCUACUAGAGCGGCCGAUGGCAGAUUAGGUAGUUGGUGGGAUAAAAGCUUACCAAGCCGACGAUCUGUAGCUGGUCUGAGAGGACGAUCAGCCACACUGGGACUGAGAAACGGCCCGGACUCCUACGGGAGGCAGCAGUGGGGAAUUUUGGACAAUGGGCGCAAGCCUGAUCCAGCAAUGCCGCGUGCAGGAUGAAGGCCUUCGGGUUGUAAACUGCUUUCGUACGGAACGAAAAGCCCCGGGUUAAUACCCUGGGGUCAUGACGGUACCGUAAGAAUAAGCACCGGCUAACUACGUGCCAGCCGCCGCGGUAA
Molecule: ribosomal RNA, 498 nt
Filed under: uncultured bacterium
Lineage: Bacteria
Description: partial 16S ribosomal RNA
Rfam family: Bacterial small subunit ribosomal RNA
Source: RNAcentral